This is a small nuclear RNA of Mus pahari (shrew mouse), 106 nucleotides long. The record is from RefSeq and is a predicted model, not a curated record. Lineage: Eukaryota; Metazoa; Chordata; Mammalia; Rodentia; Muridae.
GCUAGUGUUCACUUCCGCAGCAAAUAAAAUUGGAACAAUACAGAGAAGAUUAGCAUGGGCCCUGUGCAAGGAUGACACGCAAACUUGUGAAGCAUUCCAUAUUUUU